CAAUAGCGUAUAUUUAAGUUGUUGCAGUUAAAAAGCUCGUAGUUGGAUUUCGGAUGGGAUUUGCCGGUCCGUCGUUACGAUGUGCACUGGCCAGUCCUAUCUUGUUGUCGGGGACUAGCUCCUUGGAUUCACUUCCUGGGACUAGGAGCUGACGAGGUUACUUUGAGUAAAUUAGAGUGUUCAAAGCAAGCCUACGCUCUGAAUACAUUAGCAUGGAAUAACACGAUAGGACUCUGGCUUAUCUUGUUGGUCUGUGAGACCAGAGUAAUGAUUAAGAGGGACAGUCGGGGACAUUCGUAUUUCAUUGUCAGAGGUGAAAUUCUUGGAUUUAUGAAAGACGAACUUCUGCGAAGGCAUUUGUCAAGGAUGUUUUCAUUA
Molecule: ribosomal RNA, 378 nt
Filed under: uncultured eukaryote
Lineage: Eukaryota
Description: partial 18S ribosomal RNA
Rfam family: Eukaryotic small subunit ribosomal RNA
Source: RNAcentral